AAAAAGAUAAGCUAAUAUAAGCUAAUGGUAUCAUAUCUCAUUUAUGAAUUUUAUUCUCUUUUUA
Molecule: transfer RNA, 64 nt
Filed under: Arisubathynella cheongmiensis
Lineage: Eukaryota; Metazoa; Arthropoda; Malacostraca; Bathynellacea; Parabathynellidae
Description: tRNA-Met
Source: RNAcentral